RNAcentral lists this transfer RNA (76 nucleotides) under Alkalicella caledoniensis. Its description in RNAcentral is "Clostridiales bacterium LB2 tRNA-Arg". It matches the Rfam family "tRNA". From Rfam's summary of the family: Transfer RNA (tRNA) molecules are approximately 80 nucleotides in length. Their secondary structure includes four short double-helical elements and three loops (D, anti-codon, and T loops). Lineage: Bacteria; Bacillati; Bacillota; Clostridia; Eubacteriales; Proteinivoracaceae. The record is from RNAcentral.
ACGCUCGUAGCUCAGGGGAUAGAGCAACGGACUUCUAAUCCGUGUGUCGGAGGUUCGAAUCCUCCCGGGCGUGCCA